Molecule: long non-coding RNA, 791 nt
Organism: Erinaceus europaeus (western European hedgehog)
Lineage: Eukaryota; Metazoa; Chordata; Mammalia; Eulipotyphla; Erinaceidae
Exons: 2
Source: RefSeq, a predicted model, not a curated record
ACAGCCCGUGAGCCAGGACAGGGCCAGGCGGGUGCAGGCAGUUUCUGUCUGGAACUUCUCAGCCCAGACUUGAAAGCUGCUCUGGGGACCUGGGGGUGUGGAUUCCAGGGCUGGUGACACCCAGGUCACCUGGCUCCUGCAGGAGUCUCCGUCAACUUUGUGUCCUCAGCAGAGGGCAGGCCUGCGGGGUGAGGGUCUGGGGUCUCUGUGCAUCUCUGAGCAGGAUGGGUCCCCGGCCAGGGAAGCUGCUGGGCGGGGAGCACAGGACUGACAGCCUGAGGAUUGUGGUUCAAACCCCAGCACAGCUGAUGCCAGUCUCCGCUGCUGUCUCUCAGUUGCCAGUCACCACAGCAACCCCUAGUCACCACAGGAGCCCCCAUCACCACAGGAGACCCCCAGUCACUGUCUGGCCAUCCCAUCCCCCAGUCUGUGUUUCCAUGUUGCUCCCUUCAGACUAAUUCAGGGAAGGCUCUGCCACCCCCACCCAUAGGCCCUCAGCAGUCGAGCUGCCCUCCGGCUUCACUACCUGACCGGGUCACCCCGUUCGUGUCCCCGUCUGCCCCUCGGCUUCACUGCUUGACCGGGUCACCUUGUCCUUGUGCCCGUCUGCUCUUGGUGGCCACCCCCAGGCUGCGUUCCUGUUUUCACUUCAUUAAAAUACCCCCAGAGCGUCUGUCUUGGACCCGGAUCCAUUUAGAAAUGUGAAGUCUGCUGUCCAGGCGUUUGGGGCACUUUCCAGGCUCCUUUCAGACGUUGACUUGUGGCUGAAUUUCAUUAGAGCAGAGAACAUU